AAACAACAUGAAAGCAUAAACUAAUAGGAUGACGAGAGGAGUUCCAAAUCUCUAUUAUUAAGUUCAGUGGAUGAUGAUAUGAUCAAUUAAUCUAAAGCAACUACUGAACCAAUAUCUGGCACAAAUCUUGCCACCUUUUUCCAACCCGCAAGAUUUUCAUGAAAUUGAGAUCCAAAGUUUCAUAUAAGAGCAAAUGCGAGGAGAAAAG
RNAcentral lists this unclassified non-coding RNA (208 nucleotides) under Hevea brasiliensis (rubber tree). The record is from RNAcentral. Lineage: Eukaryota; Viridiplantae; Streptophyta; Magnoliopsida; Malpighiales; Euphorbiaceae.